Molecule: RNA transcript, 4624 nt
Organism: Mastomys coucha (southern multimammate mouse)
Lineage: Eukaryota; Metazoa; Chordata; Mammalia; Rodentia; Muridae
Gene: Wdr26
Gene name: WD repeat domain 26
Exons: 15
Source: RefSeq, a predicted model, not a curated record
UCCAUUAGGCAGCAGCUGGGGGAAGAAUCAACACACCAGGGAGCGGAGCGGCGCGGAGCGAGCACCGAGGCGGCCGCUGCCUCCGCCGCCGCCGCCGCCGCCUCCUCCGCCGCCUCCGCCGCCGCCGCUGUCCCGGGCUCCAGCGUCGGGCCCGCGCCCCCCCCAGUGCCCGCGAGCCCCCGGGCCGCGCCGCGAGCGCCUCCGGAGGGGGGGGGAAGGGCCCGGUCCUCCUUCUCCCCCUCCUCCCGCCCCGCCGACCCCCGCCGCGCCCCGCCGGCCUCCCACCACGGCCUCUCUCGGCGAGGAAACUCUGGCCUCCGCUUCCUCCUCCUCCGACUCGGACGCCGGCGGAGCCUCCCCGCCCCCGCGGAAGAAGCCCCGAGCCUCGGCGGCGGAGGGAGCAGGAGAGCCCGGGGCCUCGGCCGGCCGAGCAGGCCUCCCCCCCCCGCCCUCGCCCUCGCCCUCGCCCUCGCCGGCCGCCUCCUCCUCCGUGGUGGUGGUGGUGGGACUGCCUCCGGCCGCCCCCGCCGCCCCGCAGCGGAGCAGCGGCCACAGCCUGGUCAGCGGCGGCACCAUGCAGGCCAACGGGGCGGGAGGAGGCGGCGGCGGGGGCGGCGGGGGCCAGGGCCAGACCCCGGAGCUCGCCUGCCUGUCGGCGCAGAACGGGGAGUCGUCCCCGUCGGCGACGUCCGCGGGGGACCUGGCCCACGCCAACGGGCUCCUGCCUGCCGCCCCCUCCGCCGCUGGCAACAAUAGCAACAGCCUGAGUGUCAAUAACGGGGUUCCCGGCGGGGCCUCCGCGGCCUCCGCCGCCGCCGCCGCCCAGGCCACCCCCGAGCUGGGCAGCAGCCUCAAGAAGAAGAAGCGGCUCUCGCAGUCCGAUGAGGAUGUCAUUAGGCUCAUAGGACAGCACCUCAAUGGCCUAGGGCUCAACCAGACUGUUGAUCUCCUCAUGCAAGAGUCAGGAUGUCGGUUAGAGCAUCCUUCUGCUACCAAAUUCCGAAAUCAUGUCAUGGAAGGAGACUGGGAUAAGGCAGAAAAUGACCUGAAUGAACUAAAGCCUUUAGUACAUUCUCCUCAUGCUAUUGUGGUAAGAGGCGCACUUGAAAUCUCUCAAACGUUGUUGGGAAUAAUUGUGAGGAUGAAGUUUCUGCUGCUGCAGCAAAAGUACCUGGAAUACCUGGAGGACGGCAAGGUGCUGGAGGCACUUCAAGUUCUACGCUGCGAACUGACGCCGCUGAAGUAUAAUACAGAACGCAUCCAUGUUCUUAGUGGGUAUCUGAUGUGUAGCCAUGCAGAAGACCUCCGGGCAAAAGCUGAGUGGGAAGGCAAGGGGACGGCUUCCCGGUCCAAACUGCUGGACAAGCUUCAGACCUAUUUACCAGCAUCAGUGAUGCUUCCCCCACGGCGUUUACAGACUCUCCUGCGGCAGGCGGUGGAGCUACAGAGGGAUCGGUGCCUAUAUCACAAUACCAAACUUGACAACAAUCUAGAUUCUGUGUCUCUACUUAUAGAUCAUGUUUGUAGUAGGAGGCAGUUUCCCUGUUACACUCAGCAGAUACUUACAGAGCAUUGUAAUGAGGUGUGGUUCUGUAAAUUCUCUAAUGAUGGCACUAAACUAGCAACAGGAUCAAAGGAUACCACAGUUAUCAUAUGGCAAGUUGAUCCGGAUACACACCUGUUAAAACUGCUUAAAACGUUAGAAGGACAUGCGUAUGGCGUCUCCUACAUAGCAUGGAGUCCAGAUGACAGCUACCUUGUUGCUUGUGGUCCAGAUGACUGCUCGGAGCUUUGGCUUUGGAAUGUACAGACGGGAGAAUUGAGAACAAAAAUGAGCCAAUCUCAUGAAGACAGUUUGACCAGUGUGGCCUGGAAUCCAGACGGGAAACGCUUUGUGACGGGAGGUCAGCGUGGUCAGUUCUACCAGUGUGACCUGGACGGCAAUCUUCUGGACUCCUGGGAAGGAGUGCGAGUGCAAUGCCUGUGGUGCUUGAGUGACGGCAAGACUGUGCUGGCUUCGGACACGCACCAGAGAGUCCGGGGCUACAACUUUGAGGACCUGACAGAUAGAAACAUAGUACAAGAAGAUCAUCCUAUUAUGUCAUUUACUAUUUCAAAAAAUGGCCGAUUAGCUUUGUUAAAUGUAGCAACUCAGGGAGUUCAUUUGUGGGACUUGCAAGACAGAGUUUUAGUAAGGAAGUACCAAGGUGUUACCCAAGGGUUUUAUACAAUUCAUUCGUGCUUUGGAGGCCAUAAUGAAGACUUCAUCGCCAGCGGCAGUGAAGAUCACAAGGUUUACAUCUGGCACAAACGUAGUGAACUGCCAAUUGCGGAGCUCACGGGGCACACGCGCACAGUAAAUUGUGUUAGCUGGAACCCACAGAUUCCAUCCAUGAUGGCCAGUGCCUCAGACGAUGGCACUGUUAGAAUAUGGGGACCAGCGCCUUUCAUAGACCACCAGAAUAUUGAAGGGAAGGAACCAAAAUAUGGCAGAGCUCGUUAACUUGUUGAACGCUGCCAUUUCGGCAGAUCUAGGUCUGGAAGGUUCCCCACCACCUUGGUACUUGAAGAUGAAGAAAGUCAUAAAGCUAACAGAUGAGGACAAAUUCUUGAUUAAAUAUAAUAGUACUAGAGAGAAGUAAUAAAUUUUAUAGGAAUGCAGUAGCAUGGAUAGUUGAUGGCGAAUUUGGAGCAGACGACUUCUGUUUAACUUAAAAUUAGUCGUAUUUUAAUGGCUUGGGAUUUGGUGCAAACAAACAUGAUUGAUAGCUGGACAGACAUGCUCGUCAUGAAAAAAAAAAGAACCAUUUUGAAGCCCGAUUGGGGCCAAACAUUUACACCUUGCUUCAUAGUAACCAGUUGAUGAAGCACGUCUUAGAACGUUGUUGGACACCAUGUUGAAUUAUUCCCCAUCGGUUGUGAAGGACUGUGCUACAUUCAGGCUUACCCAUUGAACUCAGUAUAUAUAUUUUUUCCCUCCUGCCUUUUGUCUGGUGGGACACCAUUCUUGUUGCUCUUCUGUGUAAUGAAGUUCAAAUGCUUGUUUGGAAACUUUAUUUAACAGUGUAGAAGGCUUGAUAGCAAGAGCUCAUUAGUCUGAAGAGUGUCCAUUGGACAGGAAAGAAUUUCCUUUUGUUUCUCCAAAUCUUCCCGCCUUAUUUAGCUUGAGAUCUUUGCAGCUUGGUUCAUGGAUUCUAGCCUUGCCCGUUGCGCAGUAUAUACUGAUCAGAUGAUAAACCAGUGAACUAUGUCAAAAGCACUCUCAAUAUUACAUUUGACAAAAAGUUUUGUACUUUUCACAUAGCUUGUUGCCCCGUAAAAGGGUUAACAGCACAAUUUUUUAAAAAUAAAUUAAGAAGUAUUUAUAGGAUUAAAGUGACUUCAUUUGUAUACAUUUGGAAUCUAAACCAGCUUAAAAACCGUGUCCUUCCUCUGUGGCUGAGAUGUGCAGGGUAACUGAUGCUCUUCUGGAGUGCCACGUGACACAUGGCAUGGUCAGAAACAGUGUUCAGAGGGACACGGCCCAGGAAAGCCAGAGAGAGACUUUAAAGGUUUCCCCUUUUUAUUUCAUUCUCGGAGGGACAUCAGUACCUGAUACUGAAGAAAUUCAAGAUUCAAAAGGAAAAUUUUAUAAAUAAACCAACACGGGAGAUCAGCAUCAGUCUAGGUUUUCAAGAAAGCUUGUUCCAGGUUCUUCUGAACUUGGGGAAAAUGUGAUCUAGCAAAAGUAGACAUGAGAAAAUAGACUUGGGAUUUAUAGUGUAGUUGAAUCUUAGAGGAAGUCAGCAGGCUACAAACAUGUAUGUAAACUGGAACUAAAGCCUGAGGCAUUUCUCCUAGUUGCCCUUAAUGUCCAGCACAUAGGGACACUCAUUCAAAGAAGGUCCCUCUCAGCUUCUCAGAUGUUGCCAUAAUGAACCUCAUUCAAACUGGUGCUGUGCACGGUCCUUCCCUCCCCCUCCCCUUUUAGUUUACGGGAAUGUUUCCUUUAUGGAAAAAAAAAAGACUUGUCAUUUUGAAGACCCUAUAUCUAACAUAAGCCUGAUUGAUGCUCAUGGUGUGUUUUCAACCUCAUAAUUGCUGGGUCUAACAGUCUCCCUUGAAAUCCAUGUUUUCCAGUAGGGGAUAACCAGGGUGACCACAGCUGUUUGAAAGAGAAGUGGCAUUACUCCCAAUGUAUCCUGGUGAACAAAAACAGAUCUUAUACAACUUGCCCUUGAGGCUGAGCCAAGUCCAUAGCAUUCACCAUGCUCAUCCCCCUCAGGAUCCUGAGAGGAGAGAGAGGCUUGUGCUGAGGGAGCUUUCCACUGUGGGGGUCAUAGGGAGGGAAGAGCCAGGAAGAGGGAGAAGGGAACACAUUUGGCCUUAAGACAGUGUUCAUUCUCCCAAAGCCCAUAGUUAGGAGAUGACAGAUCGUAGUCAGCAGGUUAUUAAUUCAAAUGGGUAUGUAAAAGAUUCCUUUAAGCUUCAUUUUUCAGAGACCACCACUUUAGAAAAUCAGAGAAAUCCUGUUUUGAUACUUCUUAGUUAAAGUACUAUGUUACCGUUUAUCUGGUACUUCAUUUUCUUGACUAAAAUUACUUUUCACUUUAAGCUUGAAUAAAAGUUUUCAUUCAUAACUGUA